CCCCGUUUCUCCCUCUUUCCUUGUUCCCCCCACGCGGCCACGCUUCUCUCGACGGUUCCUCCUCGCCUCUCCGGCACCGCCCCAUGCGCCCCUCCCGCGGCUCCCCCGUCGCUCCACUCUCUCCGCUGGCCCGCGCUCCGCACACCGCGUUCCUCGUGUUCCUCGUGCUCUUCGUUCCUCGCGUUCCUCGUGCUCCGAUACACGAGAUCCAGAUAGUGCUCGUGUUCCUCGUGCGAGAAGGGAAGAAAGGGACCGGCGUUGCGGGUGCCAUCCCACGCUCGCCGUCACCUCCGCGCUCCUACCCCCACUGCGCACUGUCGUCGCUGUCCACUCCGCCCGAAGAACCCGGCCCACGCGACGACGGAGGGGAGCUCCACCACCGCCUCCUCCGCCGGGUAAGCUUCAGAGAUCCCCGAGUGCUCGAUCCAAAUUGUGUCGUUUGGUUGGUGAUUAAGCUAUGCUGGCUCAUGCCAAUCGGAGUUGGUGUGUUAAUUUGUUUUAGCAUAACAUCGAGGCAGUGCUCGUGUUCCUCGUGCUCUUCGUAGUGAAGGUGCGAUGGUUAAUACCAACUUGAAUUCCUGUGUAAACUUAUUUCUUAAAUUAUUUGGUGAUAAAAUUAGUGGGAGUAUGUCUUAGCUUCCCUGUUGUUCUAAAUUGUAAUUUGAUAGUCAUAGGAGAGCACUAGACAGAGAUGGAAUUGUGGAAUUGCCAUAUGAUUCGAACUUGGAUUACAUUGCCGUCAUGUGUAACUUCAUAUGUUUUAUUUUUAAACGAGGCAACAUUUUGGGUGUAUGUUUUGCAUUUUAGAUCAGUUAUUCUGCAACUUAACAUCUGAACUUGGUGUGGUAAACUUGAAGAAAAUGGGUCACAUUUCCAUAUACUAAUAUGGGGCUGAUACAUGGUUUGUUUUUGUUAAUGGAAUUAGAUAUGCUAUGCUGUAAGUUUCCAUCAGAUUAAGCAUGCAAGGUCCAUAGAAUAGAAAUUAUACCAUUGCAGGUUGUGAUGUGAGGAUAUUGUUGUGCUUUUCAUUGUGGGAUACUUCCUCAUAUUGCAAAUAUGCAAAGAGGCUUGCUCAGACCUAUUCUUUUUGUCGCUGGAAGCCUGGAAGUGGAGCACAUUAUUUUACUUGAUAUGAGAUGAUGAAUCGUGUAAAAUCUCCUGAGCAUGCUUUCUGCUAACUAAACUGUUGAUGCUUGGCAGAUUGUAAAGAGGAAACCUGGGAAACAUUCAUCGCUGAUUCACUGCUCUACGAGGUUUACUUUCGAUUUCAGUUGAGAUAUGCAAGUGAUAGUCUGGCGUAGCACGAUUUAUGAGAGGAAGAAAAGCGUCAUACCUUCCUCGCCCCUCGCCGUCGCCCCUAACAACAAUUCAAGCAUGGUGGCUGUUAGGGCCUGAAGUCUGAACCAAUUGAAGAAGAUAGAACUGAUGCUGACCAGGAAGCCUCACCGUGCACGUAGUACUUGGUGCGGGGCAGCCGGGCGGAGGUGAUGUCCUUGAAGGCUUGAAGAGAACCUCCAUGAACUUGGCGGCGGUGGCCUGGUCCACCGUCCACCAUGUUCUGGACUUCCAUAACACGAAGUUGCUGUUGAUCAUCCCACAGAGUGCAGAGUUUCAGAUAAGUAUGUGCAGGGUCAUCACAAGUUCAGAACGAGAAAGCAGAGUCGACCACAAACUCAGAUGCUAUGGCCUAACAGAAGUGUUUUUUUUUUUUUUGCAUAAUGUAAAGGGCAAUUUCGAGUAUAAACCUGAUGGUCACAAGAAAAGAUCCUGCAGGCAUAUAGAAGUCUCUUGUUCUCCGUGUCCACCUUGGCAUACAGAAUGUUUUUGCCAAAAAAAGAGAGUAUGGUCGUAAACCAAUCACCUCUUGGAAACGUAAUCAGGGAAAGGCUAGCUCAUAGUUGGAACUGGAACGGCAUAUCAAGGAUCAGCUCACCAUUCACGGUAGAACUUCAUGGUCCUCAUGGUAGCUCCUGCUGCAUCAUAUAUUUCUGUACUUCACGGUGGGAAAGGAGGAGCAGAUAUUUUCUUCUUUAACCAUAAAUAAAAACAUUCUACAUCCUUCCUCUUUUU
RNA transcript from Panicum virgatum (switchgrass), 2070 nucleotides. RefSeq lists it as uncharacterized. NCBI's taxonomy places the organism in Eukaryota, Viridiplantae, Streptophyta, Magnoliopsida, Poales, Poaceae. The transcript is spliced from 2 exons. The record is from RefSeq and is a predicted model, not a curated record.